UGCAAGUCGAACGGCAGUAGAACCAGCAAUGGGACUAUGAGAGUGGCGAACGGGUGCGUAACGCGUAUGCAACUUACCUCCAACUGGGGAAUAGCCCUGGGAAACCGGGAUUAACACCGCAUAAGAUGGUAGAACCGCAUGGUUCAGCCAUUAAAGUUUACGGUUGGAGAUGGGCAUGCGUGCCAUUAGCUAGUUGGCGGGGUAAUAGCCCACCAAGGCGACGAUGGCUAGGGGGUCUGAGAGGAUGAUCCCCCACACUGGUACUGAGAUACGGACCAGACUCCUACGGGAGGCAGCAGUAGGGAAUAUUGGUCAAUGGACGCAAGUCUGAACCAGCCAUGCCGCGUGCAGGAUGAAGGCGCUCUGCGUUGUAAACUGCUUUUGUACGGGAAGAAUAUAUCGUUUGCGAACGGUUUUGACGGUACCGUAAGAAUAAGGAUCGGCUAACUACGUGCCAGCAGCCGCGGUAAUACGUAGGAUCCAAGCGUUGUCCGGAUUUAUUGGGUUUAAAGGGUGCGCAGGCGGCCUGAUAAGUCAGUGGUGAAAGCCCGUUGCUUAACAACGGAACUGCCAUUGAUACUGUCGGGCUUGAGUACAGUUGAGGUUGGCGGAAUGUAUCAUGUAGCGGUGA
This 631-nucleotide ribosomal RNA is filed under the name uncultured Sphingobacteriales bacterium. RNAcentral's name for it is "bacterial SSU rRNA". It matches the Rfam family "Bacterial small subunit ribosomal RNA", at positions 56 to 684 of the family's 1533-position model. The record is from RNAcentral. Lineage: Bacteria; Pseudomonadati; Bacteroidota; Sphingobacteriia; Sphingobacteriales.